AGCGGCGGACGGGUGAGUAACGCGUGGGUAACCUGCCCUAUACACAUGGAUAACAUACUGAAAAGUUUACUAAUACAUGAUAAUAUAUAUUUGCGGCAUCGCAGAUAUAUCAAAGUGUUAGCGGUAUAGGAUGGACCCGCGUCUGAUUAGCUAGUUGGUGAGAUAACUGCCCACCAAGGCGACGAUCAGUAGCCGACCUGAGAGGGUGAUCGGCCACAUUGGAACUGAGACACGGUCCAAACUCCUACGGGAGGCAGCAGUGGGGAAUAUUGCACAAUGGGCGAAAGCCUGAUGCAGCAACGCCGCGUGAACGAUGAAGGUCUUCGGAUCGUAAAGUUCUGUUGCAGGGGAAGAUAAUGACGGUACCCUGUGAGGAAGCCCCGGCUAACUACGUGCCAGCAGCCGCGGUAAUACGUAGGGGGCUAGCGUUAUCCGGAUUUACUGGGCGUAAAGGGUGCGUAGGUGGUCCUUCAAGUCGGUGGUUAAAGGCUACGGCUCAACCGUAGUAAGCCGCCGAAACUGGAGGACUUGAGUG
RNAcentral lists this ribosomal RNA (535 nucleotides) under uncultured Peptostreptococcaceae bacterium. RNAcentral's name for it is "bacterial SSU rRNA". It matches the Rfam family "Bacterial small subunit ribosomal RNA", at positions 94 to 648 of the family's 1533-position model. Lineage: Bacteria; Bacillati; Bacillota; Clostridia; Peptostreptococcales; Peptostreptococcaceae. The record is from RNAcentral.